RNAcentral lists this ribosomal RNA (460 nucleotides) under uncultured Methylomirabilota bacterium. RNAcentral's name for it is "bacterial SSU rRNA". It matches the Rfam family "Bacterial small subunit ribosomal RNA", at positions 977 to 1434 of the family's 1533-position model. Lineage: Bacteria; Methylomirabilota (SeqCode). The record is from RNAcentral.
GGGCUUGACAUCCCACGAACCUGCCUGAAAGGGCAGGGUGCCCGCAAGGGAGCGUGGAGACAGGUGGUGCAUGGCUGUCGUCAGCUCGUGUCGUGAGAUGUUGGGUUGAGUCCCGCUACGAGCGCAACCCUCACCCCUAGUUGCCACCGGGUAAUGCCGAGCACUCGAGGGGAACUGCCAGCGUCAAGCUGGAGGAAGGCGGGGAUGACGUCAAGUCAUCAUGCCCCUUACGCCCUGGGCUACACACGUGCUACAAUGGCCAGUACAAAGGGAUGCGAGACCGCAAGGUGGAGCUAAUCCCAAAAAGCUGGUCUAAGUUCAGAUUGCAGCCUGCAACUCGACUGCAUGAAGGAGGAAUCGCUAGUAAUCGCGCAUCAGCACGGCGCGGUGAAUACGUUCCCGGGCCUUGUGCACACCGCCCGUCACACCACGAAAGUUGGCUGUACUCGAAGUCGCUGAG